Molecule: ribosomal RNA, 119 nt
Filed under: Helianthus annuus (common sunflower)
Lineage: Eukaryota; Viridiplantae; Streptophyta; Magnoliopsida; Asterales; Asteraceae
Source: RNAcentral
GGUUGCGAUCAUACCAGCACUAAUGCACCGGAUCCCAUCAGAACUCCGCAGUCAAGCGUGCUUGGGCGAGAGUAGUACUAGGAUGGGUGACCCCCUGGGAAGUCCUCGUGUUGCAACGC